UUUUUUUUUUUUUUUUUUUUUUUUAAAACAGGAUAAUUAGCUUAAAUGAUUCAUCUUCAAUAUCUAUGACAGCCACACAGAAGUUGCCCGAAUACAGACUCGUUGCAUUGUCGCUAAGGCCCGGCUUUUGCUGUCCCCAGAUCGGGUUUUAAGGGUUAGCGACCGGGGUCGUUAUCCCAAUAUAGGCUAACUUACGUCACAUCUCCGGAGAAACACAAACAUAACAAAAACACACAAUGGCUAUAGUAUAGAUCACGACACUAAUUGCACAGCCUUUGCAUUUUUUACUUAUUUUGUAAAUGUGAAGUUCGUUUUCCAAGCACAAUUACGCAGGGAGUCCUCCAGUGUGUGGGCGGGAGCGGCCCCGGCGAGGGCUCUCGGCUCCCCCCUGUGUGAUUUUAGUUUUCUGCGGUGAACGCCCAAUAUAAUCGGCGAGACUGAGGAUCCUCUGGGACUUGGGUUCAUAUUGUUGACGGUUCUUAUUUACCGUCGCUAAGGAGACCCAGCGGAGAAACAUCUGGCCUCUCUUGCUCACUCGUUCAUUCAUCCUUGACCACGCUUGAGUGACUGUGAAAGACUGAAGCACUUAAUCAGUGAGGCAGUUGCUUGGACGCUGGAUAUGGAGGGAUUCCAGCUGUUGAAUUGCCAGCUUGAAUAAAAGCAAUAAAGAAAAUCACAGAACUCGGGUUCAGUAAUGAUAUGCAAACGUCACAGAACUUUGUGGAAACAAUCUGAAUAAACUUUAACACUUUAUAUCAUCCGUUCAUUUUUAGUACUGAACGCUAAUUCAACCGGCUUAACUAAUCUGUUAUUUUUAAAUAAAACAUUUCCAGUCCCCC
Molecule: long non-coding RNA, 839 nt
Organism: Polyodon spathula (Mississippi paddlefish)
Lineage: Eukaryota; Metazoa; Chordata; Actinopteri; Acipenseriformes; Polyodontidae
Exons: 2
Source: RefSeq, a predicted model, not a curated record